RNAcentral lists this ribosomal RNA (101 nucleotides) under Priestia megaterium. The record is from RNAcentral. RNAcentral also lists the same sequence under 1 other name. Lineage: Bacteria; Bacillati; Bacillota; Bacilli; Caryophanales; Bacillaceae.
GAAGAGGUCACACCCGUUCCCAUACCGAACACGGAAGUUAAGCUCUUUAGCGCCAAUGGUAGUUGGGACUUUGUCCCUGUGAGAGUAGGACGUUGCCAGGC